RNAcentral lists this long non-coding RNA (4787 nucleotides) under Malus domestica (apple). RNAcentral's name for it is "long non-coding RNA (MDOM_LNC003848)". Lineage: Eukaryota; Viridiplantae; Streptophyta; Magnoliopsida; Rosales; Rosaceae. The record is from RNAcentral.
GGCUUGGUAAUGGUGAGUCUCCCAUACCCUACUAAGAGUUUCCUCCAAAACUCUCGAAUUCCGAUGAGGGAUAUGGAAUUUGCCAAAAAUAAUGGGUGGUGCUAUUUGAUUUAAAGACCCAGAUCAAAUGGCUUAAAAUCAAUCAAUCAAUUUAUAUUCGUUAUGUAUUUGUUUACCAAUAUAUUUGCAAACGCUAUCCAAAACUUGACAAAGAAAAGCCGAAUGCUUUAGUUUCCAGACUUGGUACCACAAUCCCAUAGAUUGUCUUAAAUUGAUUGUAUAUGUACCUAAGUAGUCUCAUCCUCACAAUCUUCCUAUUGAUAAUGUAUCAUUGGAAGAACAUGUUAGAUAAGUCUAUCAUAAAGAGGACAACACAAAGAACCAAUGCUUAUUCCUUCAUUAUAUGAACAAAGGAACUUAUGAAGAUUAGCAUAAAGACAAGGACACUUUUAGUGUCAUAGUUCUUCACUUACAAAUCGUUGUAUGAAGAAAUAAGAGUUGCUUUGAACAACCCUUAGUUAACGCAAACACUAGUGCUUGUUUCUUUGUUAAAUGAACAAAGAACUUAAGAAGUAAGCACAAGGGCAUGGACACUUUAUGUGCCAUGAUUCUUCACUUACAAAUUGUUGUAUGAAGAAAUGAGAGUUGCCUUGAACAACUCUUGAAAGUUUGUAAUUAUGUUUAGAACAUAAUGGUUGGUUGACAAAAAUAGUCCAUCAACAUGGACUUAUGAUAAUUUUGAAUCAUUGAGUGUUGAAGUGUUAAACCACUUCACGAGACGGAAACUAGGCAAGGACUUCACUUUUGUGUCCCUAUCUAAAUGGUUCACUAAGUUUAUUGUAAACUAUAUAGUGAACAAUAAUCACACGCUCUCCAAAUUGUUUGAUGUGUAUAACACAAUUGAAAUGAGUUUCAUGAGAGAUAGUGGGAGUUUAGGGACCAUGACUAUUGUAGUUAAAGGAGAAGUCAAAUGAAGAAGGCGAAAUAACUCCAAGGGAACAAACUUUCUUUAUGAAAUGAUGGACAUUGGAAAGGGUAUUUGCAAGAAAUGUCUUGCAAGUGUCAAGAACACACCUUUCGAAGGUGUUGUAAAUUGUUCUUGAAUAGUUCAAAACAGUUGGUUCUUCUACUUGAAUGCUUGAUUCCGUAUUAGUAACUAUGUUUUACAAUCGUUGCAAAAGUGUGGCUAAUAAGAAGUAGAAGAUUAAUGAGAGAAGAGAAAGUACUUCACAUUCGGAACGUGAUUCAAAUGUAGAUCUAUGCGAAAGCAGGUAAUACUUACUUCCUCAUAUGAACUACCAAAGAAAAUGGAAAAACAAAGAUUGUCUUUACAUUCCAAUUGAAUAAAGGAACUUAAUUCCGUAUGAGAAAUGGAUAAAUGUUAUGUUUGACAAAAACAUUGUUCUUUAUUAAUGAAUAAUUAGAUUAUUUGUAAUCUAAUUGAUUAUCUCUAUAGUAGAGAUGAUAUGGUAGUGUUAACUGUUUAGAAUAUAACGAUGCUUAAAACCCAAAAGGUUGCAAGGUAGUGACUAAUCCCAACUGAGUUGUGAUACCUCUAUAACAUAAAUUACGAGUUGGUCAUAGAUGGAUGCUUUUGGAUCAUUAGAUCCGGAUCCAAUGCCUUCUUGUUAAAAUUGUAUAGAGGCAAAAUGUUUGAAUCUUUAUUCUUUUGGAAAGGAAGAAAGAAUCACAAAGUUGUUGAGGCUAAUUCACUUAGAUGUUAGUGGCACUUGUCCACAACAUAAUACUACUCAUGUUGUAUGACAUUCACCGAAGAUCGCUCUCGCUUGGACUAUCAUUUAUUUUGAAUAAACACAAGUCCGAAUACUUUGCAAAAGGUUUCAAAGAAUUCAAGAAUGUAAGUUGAUGAGUAAGACGUCUAAAGUAUUUACCUCCUUAGAUUUAAUCCAAGGAAAGGUAACACUUUAGAACAGUUUCCUUGAAAGAUAUCAAAAGGAAAGAAGCAUCAUAAGAUAAUGGAUUUCUUCAUAAGGAGAAGAACGAACUUGAAUAAGAUUUAGUUUGUUGGAUGUUAUCAAGUACCCAUAUAUAGGAUAUAUAUACUUCUAAGACAAUAUGAUUGUCAAUUAGAAGAUCUUCCAAAAUUUUCAUGACUCCAUAGGAUGUAGUUGGAAAGAAAGAUAAGUCUUAAUCGUGUUAAGAUUUGGGGUUGUGUGCUAAUAAGCAAUAUUUGUUUGAGAAUUAUCUUGUGGAUAUCCUUAAAUUAAUCUUUGGAUAUCACUUCUAUAAACCAACUAACAAAUAUUGUUUUGUUGGGUAGUUCAUUGUAAUCCUACAAUAUGAUUUGCCUAAGCACAAAUGAACAAGAGAUAGAACUCAAAGAAUUGGUUCUUUGAGAGACAAGAUGAUAAUCAACAAAUAUAACAACCUAGUUCCUAAACCACAAGCUUCAAGGUAGUUGAAUGGUUUGAACUUCAUGACUAUGUCAUAGAGUUACACCUCUUAAUUCGAAAGAAAUAAGAAUGAAAAUCCUUAUGACUACAUUGAGUGUAUAUACAAACAUAUACUCAAGGACAUGGUAAAGUACCAUUUGACCCGAAAUAAUGAAACCUUCAUCGCUAAUUGGUAGCUUAAGGUGACUACAAUCAAAGAGAAUGGUUGACUUGGAAGAAACCAUCUUUGACAUAGUCUUGGUUUCAAUUAAUUCAAAGAUUGCUAGCUACAACUAAAUGGUGAUUCAAUGUUUGGACAUAAUAUGGGUUUCCGAAACCAUUAUUAAGAUAGUCUUGAUAAUAUAUGUCUGAAACUAUGAAUCACAAGACAUGUAAGUUGUAGAAAUCCAUCCAUCAUGAAUCUUAGCAAGCUAGUGGGAUCUAUAAGCGUCUUAUGAGAGAAAGAUCAAAUCGUUUGAUUUCUCAUAAAGAUGUAAAUGAAUCUUUUGUUUACUAGGUUUACAAGAGAUUAGUGGGAGUUAAUCAUGUUCCUAAAUUUGAAUAUAUAUAUAUAUAUAUACACACACACAUAUAUAUGAUAUAUUUAAUUUUGGAAAUGAAAAGAAUACUUCUUCGUUAAAGUUAUGACUUUAAACAUUCUAUAACGAUAAAAUGUAUAUGGGAGACAUAGUCUAUAAACAUGGGAUGGAAAUCUAUAAUGAUAGAUUUCAGGAUAUAAUUGGAUUAUAUCAAGCCCUAAUGAUAGACAAAAGAUGCUAGGAAGUUUCUCAUAUGAUGAUAAACUUCAAUCAGAAGGACAACUCUAGUGAGACUAGGAAGUUGCUCUUCUCAAAGGGAACGUACCCUUUUGACUCCUAAAGAAACAUAAUGCAUAAAUAGAAUCCUUUAUGCAUACGCAGAAAGGUGAUUUAUGUAUUUCAUAUUGUAUGAAAAACAUUGAUAUGAGUUAUACCUAGAACGGUACAAGACGAUAUCAGUGCAAGCCCAAGAUCAGAACCAUGGCAACUGUCAAGUGAGUCCUUAAGUAUUUAAGAAAUACUAAAGGAUAUAUUCCUCAAAGAAUGAGGAAGAAUUAGAGUAACGUAAUGGAAGCGUAAAUGUAUUAGAUUAUGACUCUAAUCCAUCAUUGGAUGUUUCUUCAUUAUGAAUGAAGAGAUAAUCAGAUAUCUUUUAUUAUAAAACUAAAGAGAUAUUUGGAUGGAAACAUUAAAAGUAAUGACUUUAGUGUGUUCCAUUUUGAAUGCAAAAUAUAUUGCCAUAUAGAAGCUUACAACAAUGUUGUUUGGAUGGGAAAGUUCAUUUAUGAACUCUCUAUUCGGCUCCAACCAGAAAGUGUCUCCAGUGUACCGACACUAUGACACUAAUGGGGCAAUACCUCAAGCAAGGGAAUCAAGGUCUUAUCAAGAUCCGAACUUAAAUGAGAGACUAAACCACUUGAUUAAGAAUCAUGUAUAAUGGUGACGUCAUUAUUCUCAAGGUUGCUUCUAUGGUUAACAUAUAGAUAUCUAUUGUCUAGGCCUACUACUCAGCCAUUUUUGAAAUGACUACAGAAGAGGUAUCAUCACUGAUGACCAAGCUGAUUGGCUCUAGUGCAAGUGGGAGAUUGUUGGAAAUGUGCCCUAAAACCAAUCAUAUGAUGAUACUUUAUGGACAUUUCACAUGUUAAACUAAUAUAGUUUAAUAUAAAGGGAAAAGAUUAUUGUUUGAAGCCGUCUCAUAUAAAUGUUAUACGCUUAAAUGACAAGUCCAAGGAAUAUGUAAUUAGGAGAAUGCGAUCUAAAGAAGUUAGAUUCAUGAGACCAUUCUUUUUCGUAUACAUAUCCUAAACGUUCCUGAUCAUAGGAUUACCAAUUGGGCAUUGACAGUCAUGUAGGUGCUCAAUAGAGAAUGAGUCCACUGAACACGAUCAACAAGGAGUUUUCAUACUCAUGUCACGUGAGAACUCAUGGUUAGGAUAAUGCAAAGUAGUCAUUUGACCUAAGGUAUCAUAGUUGUCUUUUGGUUAGGUCCUUGAUCUUUCACUAUGUCAAAGUCAGUCCGUCAGAGGGUGUCCACGACAUAGUUGGGGUUAAGCCACUUAGCCAUGGAGGCAAGUGAAUGCGCAACAAGGGAUCUUUAACCUUUAAACUGUUUGAGGGGAGAAUACUUUAUGAUAUGAUUAAGAAUCUCUAACCAGAGUAUGAAUGAGAUUUAGGAAAUCGUUCCAAAUCACAUUCAAGGUGAUCAUAUAAGUAAGAGAAUCACAUUGGAUAGUAGACAUGAAUAAACUAUCAAACCAAACAAUGUGGUCAAGAGUAUUGUAUUAGAGAAAGACUGUAUUGCAUUGCAAUCCUAAACUGAAUAGGUUAUCCACCUCCUCUGAUUAGCUUGGGU